CGAGCGCAACCCUUGUCAUUAGUUGCCAUCAUUUAGUUGGGCACUCUAAUGAGACUGCCGGUGACAAACCGGAGGAAGGUGGGGAUGACGUCAAGUCCUCAUGGCCCUUAUGGGUAGGGCUUCACACGUCAUACAAUGGUCGGUACAGAGGGUUGCCAAGCCGCGAGGUGGAGCCAAUCCCUUAAAGCCGAUCGUAGCCCGGAUCGUAGUCUGCAACUCGACUACGUGAAGUCGGAAUCGCUAGUAAUCGCAGAUCAGCAUGCUGCGGUGAAUACGUUCCCGGGUCUU
RNAcentral lists this ribosomal RNA (288 nucleotides) under uncultured Thauera sp. RNAcentral's name for it is "partial 16S ribosomal RNA". It matches the Rfam family "Bacterial small subunit ribosomal RNA", at positions 1093 to 1382 of the family's 1533-position model. The record is from RNAcentral. Lineage: Bacteria; Pseudomonadati; Pseudomonadota; Betaproteobacteria; Rhodocyclales; Zoogloeaceae.